AAUUUAUAGGUUANAGUCCUUUAUGUCUUA
Molecule: transfer RNA, 30 nt
Filed under: Dremomys rufigenis belfieldi
Lineage: Eukaryota; Metazoa; Chordata; Mammalia; Rodentia; Sciuridae
Description: partial tRNA-Asp
Source: RNAcentral